Molecule: ribosomal RNA, 343 nt
Filed under: uncultured Desulfobulbus sp.
Lineage: Bacteria; Pseudomonadati; Thermodesulfobacteriota; Desulfobulbia; Desulfobulbales; Desulfobulbaceae
Description: bacterial SSU rRNA
Rfam family: Bacterial small subunit ribosomal RNA
Source: RNAcentral
CUGCAUGGCUGUCGUCAGCUCGUGUCGUGAGAUGUUGGGUUAAGGUCCCGCAACGAGCGCAACCCUUGCCUUUAGUUGCCAGCAGUUCGGCUGGGCACUCUAAAGGGAACUGCCGGUGUUAAACCGGAGGAAGGUGGGGAUGACGUCAAGUCCUCAUGGCCUUUAUGACCAGGGCUACACACGUACUACAAUGGCCGAUACAAAGGGCAGCGACACUGCGAGGUGAAGCCAAUCCCGUAAAAUCGGUCUCAGUCCGGAUUGGAGUCUGCAACUCGACUCCAUGAAGUUGGAAUCGCUAGUAAUCGUGGAUCAGCAUGCCACGGUGAAUACGUUCCCGGGCCUU